Molecule: ribosomal RNA, 381 nt
Filed under: Parahaemophilus pittmaniae
Lineage: Bacteria; Pseudomonadati; Pseudomonadota; Gammaproteobacteria; Pasteurellales; Pasteurellaceae
Description: Haemophilus pittmaniae bacterial SSU rRNA
Rfam family: Bacterial small subunit ribosomal RNA
Source: RNAcentral
UUGCUUUCUUUGCUGACGAGUGGCGGACGGGAGAGUAAUGCUUGGGUAUCUGGCUUAUGGAGGGGGAUAACUACGGGAAACUGUAGCUAAUACCGCGUAGUAUCGGAAGAUGAAAGUGUGGGACCGCAAGGCCACAUGCCAUAGGAUGAGCCCAAGUGGGAUUAGGUAGUUGGUGAGGUAAUGGCUCACCAAGCCGACGAUCUCUAGCUGGUCUGAGAGGAUGACCAGCCACACCGGGACUGAGACACGGCCCGGACUCCUACGGGAGGCAGCAGUGGGGAAUAUUGCGCAAUGGGGGCAACCCUGACGCAGCCAUGCCGCGUGAAUGAAGAAGGCCUUCGGGUUGUAAAGUUCUUUCGGUAGCGAGGAAGGCAUUUAGUU